Callithrix jacchus (white-tufted-ear marmoset) is the source of this 1020-nucleotide non-coding RNA. The record is from RefSeq and is a predicted model, not a curated record. Lineage: Eukaryota; Metazoa; Chordata; Mammalia; Primates; Cebidae.
UGGUGCAUUAGAUAUUGGGCGGAGCAGGCGCUGUGGCAGAAGGGAAGAUGGCGGACGAGGAGAAGCUGCCGUCCGGCUGGAAGAAGCGCAUGAGGCGCAGCUCAGGCCGAGUGUACCACUUCAACCACAUCACUAACGCCAGCCAGUGGGAGCGGCCCAGUGACAACAGCAGCAGUGGUGGCAAAAAUGGGCAGGGGGAGCCUGCCAGGGUCCGCUGCUCACACCUGCUGGUGAAGCACAGCCAGUCAAGGCGCCCUCGUCCUGGCGGCAGGAGAUCCCCCGGACCAAUGAGGAGGCCCUGGAGCUUAUCAACGGCUACAUCCAGAAGAUCAAGUCAUGAGAGGAGGACUUUGAGUCUCUGGCCUCACAAUUCAGCGACUACAGCUCAGCCAAGGCCAGGGGAGACCUGGGCGCCUUCAGCAGAGGUCAGAUGCAGAAGCCAUUUGAAGACGCCUCGUUUGCGCUGCGGAUGGGAGAGAUGAGCAGGCCCGUGUUCACGGAUUCUGGCAUCCAUAUCAUUCUCCUCAUAGAGUGAGGGUGGGGAGCCCAGGCCUGGCCUCUGGGUGGGGCAGGGCGGCUGGGCCCGCCAGCUCCGGCACUGCCUGCUGGCCGGUGGUCAACCCCCCUACUCCCUGCCACCGUCAGACAGUAUUUAUUGUUCCCAAAAUGGCCGGGAGGGGACCCUUCCAGAUUGGGGGCCCUAGAGUCCCCACUCCCUGUCCAUUCCCAGUUGGGGCUGCGACUGCCAGGCUCUCCCUUAAGGAAUUGACUUCAGCAGGGGUGGGAGGCGCCCAGAACCAGGGCAGUGUGGUGGGAGGGGUGUUCCAAAGAGAAGGCCUGGUCAGCAGAGCCGCCCCGUGUCUCCCCUGGUCCUGGAGGCAGACUCGAGGGCCGGGUUGUUUCUAUUAGGCCACCCUCCUCUGUUGAGUUGCAAAAAGCAACACUCGUGCGGCCCAGCAGUGGGCCCUCUGAGCAACCGUGCAGCACCCUCUUACCUCCAAUUAAACACCCAGAACCACU